RNAcentral lists this ribosomal RNA (427 nucleotides) under uncultured bacterium. RNAcentral describes it as "bacterial SSU rRNA". It matches the Rfam family "Bacterial small subunit ribosomal RNA", at positions 355 to 774 of the family's 1533-position model. The record is from RNAcentral.
UAGGGAAUAUUGGACAAUGGGGGCAACCCUGAUCCAGCCAUGCCGCGUGAGUGAAGAAGGCCCUCGGGUUGUAAAGCUCUUUUGUCCGGAAAGAAAAGCAUUCGGUGAAUGCCCGGAUGUUCUGACGGUACCGGAAGAAUAAGCCACGGCUAACUUCGUGCCAGCAGCCGCGGUAAUACGAAGGGUGCAAGCGUUACUCGGAAUUACUGGGCGUAAAGCGUGCGUAGGUGGUUGUUUAAGUCUGAUGUGAAAGCCCUGGGCUCAACCUGGGAAUGGCAUUGGAAACUGGGCAGCUAGAGUGCGGUAGAGGGUAGUGGAAUUCCCGGUGUAGCAGUGAAAUGCGUAGAGAUCGGGAGGAACAUCUGUGGCGAAGGCGACUGCCUGGACCAGCACUGACACUGAGGCACGAAAGCGUGGGGAGCAAACA